Penaeus indicus is the source of this 457-nucleotide long non-coding RNA. RefSeq lists it as uncharacterized. Lineage: Eukaryota; Metazoa; Arthropoda; Malacostraca; Decapoda; Penaeidae. The transcript has 3 exons. The record is from RefSeq and is a predicted model, not a curated record.
ACAGUUGAAUUUGCGUCUCCAGUGAAUCCCUGUUACCAACGUCAUGGCUCCCUCUAAGAUAUUUCUGGCUUUCCUGAUGCUCCUCCUGUCAGUAUUUACGUACGGGGAACCAGUAGCCAGUAGGAGGUACGGACACAGGAGUUACGGACACGGCCGACGGAGCUACGGACACGGUCAUAGGAGAUACGGAUAUGGACACGGUCGUUAGAUGCCUAGAUUCGAAUGGUCUCCAUGAAGUUAAUAUCUAAAUGGACAACAACAAAACACGCAAAAUUGAAAUUACAAAUUAAACAGCUGCAUCUAUAACAUGGAACUAAAAAUUACUUCUUUCGUAAGAAGUUGUAGAUGGUUCUGUGUCUAGUUUCUGAGAGUUCGUCCGUCUUGCACCACAAAAGGAGUAAGAUGUUUGGUGUAAUUGUGUGCGAAUGAAGAAAUGAAUGUGUGUGUGCAUAUAUAU